GAUGAACGCUGGCGGCGUGCCUAAUACAUGCAAGUCGAGCGAACGGACGAGAAGCUUGCUUCUCUGAUGUUAGCGGCGGACGGGUGAGUAACACGUGGAUAACCUACCUAUAAGACUGGGGUAACUUCGGGAAACCGGAGCUAAUACCGGAUAAUAUUUUGAACCGCAUGGUUCAAGAGUGAAAGACGUUCUUGCUGUCACUUAUAGAUUGAUCCGCGCUGCAUUAGCUAGUUGGUAAGGUAACGGCUUACCAAGGCAACGAUGCAUAGCCGACCUGAGAGGGUGAUCGGCCACACUGGAACUGAGACACGGUCCAGACUCCUACGGGAGGCAGCAGUAGGGAAUCUUCCGCAAUGGGCGAAAGCCUGACGGAGCAACGCCGCGUGAGUGAUGAAGGUCUUCGGAUCGUAAAACUCUGUUAUUAGGGAAGAACAUAAGUGUAAGUAACUGUGCACAUCUUGACGGUACCUAAUCAGAAAGCCACGGCUAACUACGUG
Molecule: ribosomal RNA, 497 nt
Filed under: uncultured bacterium
Lineage: Bacteria
Description: partial 16S ribosomal RNA
Rfam family: Bacterial small subunit ribosomal RNA
Source: RNAcentral